GACGAACGCUGGCGGCGUGCUUAACACAUGCAAGUCGAACGGAAAGGCCCUGCUUUUGUGGGGUGCUCGAGUGGCGAACGGGUGAGUAACACGUGAGUAACCUGCCCUUGACUUUGGGAUAACUUCAGGAAACUGGGGCUAAUACCGGAUAGGAGCUCCUGCUGCAUGGUGGGGGUUGGAAAGUUUCGGCGGUUGGGGAUGGACUCGCGGCUUAUCAGCUUGUUGGUGGGGUAGUGGCUUACCAAGGCUUUGACGGGUAGCCGGCCUGAGAGGGUGACCGGCCACAUUGGGUCUGAGAUACGGCCCAGACUCCUACGGGAGGCAGCAGUGGGGAAUAUUGCACAAUGGGCGGAAGCCUGAUGCAGCAACGCCGCGUGCGGGAUGACGGCCUUCGGGCUGUAAACCGCUUUCGCCUGUGACGAAGCGUGAGUGACGGUAAUGGGUAAAGAAGCACCGGCUAACUACGUG
This 468-nucleotide ribosomal RNA is filed under the name uncultured bacterium. Its description in RNAcentral is "partial 16S ribosomal RNA". It matches the Rfam family "Bacterial small subunit ribosomal RNA", at positions 28 to 507 of the family's 1533-position model. The record is from RNAcentral.